Molecule: long non-coding RNA, 868 nt
Filed under: Sus scrofa (pig)
Lineage: Eukaryota; Metazoa; Chordata; Mammalia; Artiodactyla; Suidae
Description: lncRNA (ENSSSCG00025052063.1)
Source: RNAcentral
CACAUGGGUACUUUUAAAGCUGGAGGUCAUGUGGUAGCGACUGCACAUGUUUUGCUAAGGAAUAUGGACCUCAGCCUGUAGGCAUGAGAGAUCCAAUGGAAGCUUGAUUUAUAUCACGAAAGGCAGAUGGCAGGCUCAUUUCACAGAUUUAUUUCCCUGAAAGCUGAUGAGGUCUGAUUUAUAUCUUCCCUUGAAGGUCAGGUUAUGAACUGUUCAACUCCCUUCUCUCUAGCAAGGGUUUUCAUGAGGAUGGGGUGGUGAGGAUGAUGUCAGUUAUAUACAGCCUGUUUGUUUGCUCCGUCUAGAGAAUUUUAGGGAAUUUCUUUUUAACUCAUCAGACUUUCACUGAGCACUUACUAUGCACCUGUUAUUGUGCUCAAAGCUGGGACCAUAAUGCAAGGUGGUUGGGAGCCCCCUUUGCCAAAACUCUGGAGGGUAGGGCUGGCAAGGCAUGUACACACCAGCAUGACAUGUCUGGGUUCCUGUCUUGCAGCCUUCAUCCCGUGCCACAGGGGUCUGCUCCCAGAAGAGCUGGGGCCUGGCUAUGAUCGAUGAGCUCCUGUCACCCUCAUGACAUACUCUCCUGAACCAUCUCACCAUCACUCAGAAGCUUUGCUUUGGAGGAAGGAAGAAAGAACAGUCUAUGUAUUGUGUCUUGAGUGCUCCUUCGGGUGCUUUCCUAUCUUCGUUCCCAAACUACAAGGUUCUGUUCCUUUGAAACGGAAACCACAAUGAUAUGCCUGGAUCACAGAGGAUCUACCUGGAUUCCACAAUCAAUCCCGCAACAGAGAGGAGAGACCCUAGGAGGCACAGGCUACACACGAGGAUCAACAAAGCCUGGAGAAUAGAUACUUCAAGGGCCUCUGAG